Molecule: ribosomal RNA, 468 nt
Filed under: uncultured bacterium
Lineage: Bacteria
Description: partial 16S ribosomal RNA
Rfam family: Bacterial small subunit ribosomal RNA
Source: RNAcentral
GACGAACGCUGGCGGCGUGCUUAACACAUGCAAGUCGAACGGUGAAGCUCCAGCUUGCUGGAGUGGAUCAGUGGCGAAAGGGUGAGUAACACGUGAGCAACCUGCCCCUGACUCUGGAAUAAGCGCUGGAAACGGCGUCUAAUACUGGAUACGAGAAGGGUCCGCAUGGGCACUUUCUGGAAAGUUUUUCGGUUGGGGAUGGGCUCGCGGCCUAUCAGCUUGUUGGUGAGGUAAUGGCUCACCAAGGCGACGACGGGUAGCCGGCCUGAGAGGGCGACCGGCCACACUGGGACUGAGACACGGCCCAGACUCCUACGGGAGGCAGCAGUGGGGAAUAUUGCACAAUGGGCGAAAGCCUGAUGCAGCGACGCCGCGUGAGGGAUGACGGCCUUCGGGUUGUAAACCUCUUUCAGCAGGGAAGAAGCGAAAGUGACGGUACCUGCAGAAGAAGCACCGGCUAACUACGUG